This 560-nucleotide ribosomal RNA is filed under the name uncultured bacterium. Its description in RNAcentral is "bacterial SSU rRNA". It matches the Rfam family "Bacterial small subunit ribosomal RNA", at positions 338 to 916 of the family's 1533-position model. The record is from RNAcentral.
CCUACGGGAGGCAGCAGUGGGGAAUAUUGGACAAUGGGGGCAACCCUGAUCCAGCCAUGCCGCGUGAGUGAUGACGGCCUUAGGGUUGUAAAGCUCUUUUCUCCGGGACGAUAAUGACGGUACCGGAGGAAUAAGCCCCGGCUAACUUCGUGCCAGCAGCCGCGGUAAUACGAAGGGGGCUAGCGUUGCUCGGAAUCACUGGGCGUAAAGGGCGCGUAGGCGGCUGACUUAGUCGAGGGUGAAAGCCCGUGGCUCAACCACGGAAUGGCCUUCGAUACUGGUUGGCUUGAGACCGGAAGAGGACAGCGGAACUGCGAGUGUAGAGGUGAAAUUCGUAGAUAUUCGCAAGAACACCAGUGGCGAAGGCGGCUGUCUGGUCCGGUUCUGACGCUGAGGCGCGAAAGCGUGGGGAGCAAACAGGAUUAGAUACCCUGGUAGUCCACGCUGUAAACGAUGAAUGCUAGCCGUUGGUCUGCAUGCAGGUCAGUGGCGCCGCUAACGCAUUAAGCAUUCCGCCUGGGGAGUACGGUCGCAAGAUUAAAACUCAAAGGAAUUGACGG